This 253-nucleotide ribosomal RNA is filed under the name uncultured bacterium. RNAcentral's name for it is "partial 16S ribosomal RNA". It matches the Rfam family "Bacterial small subunit ribosomal RNA", at positions 524 to 776 of the family's 1533-position model. The record is from RNAcentral.
UACGUAGGGGGCAAGCGUUGUCCGGAAUCAUUGGGCGUAAAGCGCGUGUAGGCGGCUCGAUAAGUCUGCUGUUAAAGUCCAGGGCUCAACCCUGGGAUGCCGGUGGAUACUGUCGAGCUCGAGUCCGGAAGAGGAGUGUGGAAUUCCUGGUGUAGCGGUGAAAUGCGCAGAUAUCAGGAGGAACACCAAUGGCGAAGGCAGCACUCUGGGACGUGACUGACGCUGAGACGCGAAAGCGUGGGGAGCAAACAGG